This 301-nucleotide ribosomal RNA is filed under the name uncultured bacterium. Its description in RNAcentral is "partial 16S ribosomal RNA". It matches the Rfam family "Bacterial small subunit ribosomal RNA", at positions 509 to 807 of the family's 1533-position model. The record is from RNAcentral.
CAGCAGCCACGGUAAUACGAAGGGGGCUAGCGUUGUUCGGAAUUACUGGGCAUAAAGCGCACGUAGGCGGAUAUUUAAGUCAGGGGUGAAAUCCCGCAGCUCAACUGCGGAACUGCCUUUGAUACUGGGUAUCUUGAGUAUGGAAGAGGUUAGUGGAAUUGCGAGUGUAGAGGUGAAAUUCGUAGAUAUUCGCAGGAACACCAGUGGCGAAGGCGGCUCACUGGCUCGAUACUGACGCUGAGGUGCGAAAGCGUGGGGAGCAAACAGGAUUAGAUACCCCUGUAGUCCCUGUCUCUUAUAC